GCUCAAUGAUUUUUUAAAUUGCUGUGGUAUUUUGACUAUACAAAGGUAUUGUAAUAAGGCUUUAAUUGGGUGCUAAAAGAAUGAAAUUACAAAAAAAGACUUUCUUAAUUUUAAUAAUUAAAAUUAUUUUUUUUUGUGAAGAAACAAAAAUAAAAAUUAAAGACAAGAAGACCCUAAGAAUUUUCUUUUUUACUUAAUAUAAAAUAUUUUAUUUAAAAAUUUAAUUGGGGCGAUUAAUGAAUAUUAAUAACUUUAUAAAGAAAUAAAAUGAUCCAUUAUUAAUGAUUGUUUGAUUAAAAUACUCUAGGGAUAACAGCGUAAUAAUUUUUGAUAGUUCUUAUAGAAAAAAUAGUUUGCGACCUCGAUGUUGGAUUAGGAUUCUUUUUUAAUGAAGAAGUUAAAAAAAGAAGUUUGUUCAACUUUUAAUUUCCUACUUGAUCUGAGUUCAGACC
This 452-nucleotide ribosomal RNA is filed under the name Amblyomma rotundatum. Its description in RNAcentral is "partial 16S ribosomal RNA". The stretch from base 309 to 452 matches the Rfam family "Bacterial large subunit ribosomal RNA", at positions 2473 to 2617 of the family's 2925-position model. Lineage: Eukaryota; Metazoa; Arthropoda; Arachnida; Ixodida; Ixodidae. The record is from RNAcentral.